UCGAGCGAGAGGAGGUAGCAAUACCUUAGUAAAGCGGCGCACGGGUGAGUAACACGUGGAUAACCUGCCUCGAAGUGGGGAAUAACCCCGGGAAACCGGAGCUAAUACCGCAUAAUCUGACGAAGUUUGCGGAUUUUGUCAGCAAAGGAGCAAUUCGCUUUGAGAGGGGUCCGCGGCUGAUUAGCUAGUUGGUGAGGUAAUGGCUCACCAAGGCCACGAUCAGUAGCCGGUCUGAGAGGACGGUCGGCCACACUGGAACUGAGACACGGUCCAGACUCCUACGGGAGGCAGCAGUGGGGAAUUUUUCGCAAUGGGGGCAACCCUGACGAAGCAACGCCGCGUGGGUGAUGAAGUAUUUCGGUACGUAAAACCCUUUCGACGGGGACGAAACCGCAAGGUUGACGGUACCCGUAGAAGAAGCCCCGGCUAACUCCGUGCCAGCAGCCGCGGUAAUACGGGGGGGGCAAGCGUUGUUCGGAAUUACUGGGCGUAAAGGGCGCGUAGGCGGUUUGCUAAGUUGGAUGUGAAAACUCUGGGCUUAACCCAGUGCCUGCAUCCAAAACUGGCAAACUUGAGUACUGGAGGGGAAAGCGGAAUUCCUGGUGUAGCGGUGAAAUGCGUAGAUAUCAGGAGGAACACCGGUGGCGAAGGCGGCUUUCUGGACAGUAACUGACGCUGAGGCGCGAAAGCUAGGGGAGCAAACAGGAUUAGAUACCCUGGUAGUCCUAGCCCUAAACGAUGGAUACUUGGUGUGAGGGGGAUUGAAUCCCUUCGUGCCGUAGCUAACGCAAUAAGUAUCCCGCCUGGGGAGUAC
Molecule: ribosomal RNA, 814 nt
Filed under: uncultured bacterium
Lineage: Bacteria
Description: bacterial SSU rRNA
Rfam family: Bacterial small subunit ribosomal RNA
Source: RNAcentral